GAUGAAGAACGUAGCGAAAUGCGAUAAGUAAUGUGAAUUGCAGAAUUCAGUGAAUCAUCGAAUCUUUGAACGCACCUUGCGCCCUUUGGCCAUUCCGAAGGGCAUGCCUGUUUGAGUAUCAUGAACACCUCAACUCUUCAUGGUUUUCCGUGAUGAGCUUGGACUUUGGGGGUCUUGCUGGCCUAUGGUCAGCUCCUCUAAAAUAAAUCAGCUUGCCAGUGUUUGGUGGGUAUCACAGGUGUGAUAACUAUCUACGCUUGAGGUUUUCCACCAGGUAACCUUCAGCAGUGGAGGUUCGCUGGAGCUCACAGAUGUGUCUCUCCUCAGUGAGGACAGCUCUUUGAAUGUUUGAUCUCAAAUCAGGUAGGACUACCCGCUGAACUUAAGCAUAUCAAUAAGCGGAGGA
This 406-nucleotide unclassified non-coding RNA is filed under the name soil metagenome. RNAcentral's name for it is "partial contains 5.8S ribosomal RNA, internal transcribed spacer 2, and large subunit ribosomal RNA". The stretch from base 1 to 121 matches the Rfam family "5.8S ribosomal RNA", at positions 35 to 154 of the family's 154-position model. The record is from RNAcentral.